UAUCUUGGACUUUUAUUUGUUGCAGAGUUUCUCAUAAAAAUCUGCAAACGAAUUACAAACUGCGGUUAAUGAGACAAAGCCUGGCUGAUUUGGAAAAGCUGCCCUAAAAAAAACACAGAAAGGAAAUAUUUCUGUAUCCAGUUCUAGACAGCUGAAGAACAAACGAACCAACUCCAAAUCAACAGAAUGGUAUAAACAGGAUGAAAAAUGCAUAUAUGCCAAACCCAAUUAUGAACUAACUUUACAGAAGGGUGCAAGCUUUUCUCAGCCAGAGAAAUCAUCUGAGAUUUCUUGU
Molecule: long non-coding RNA, 295 nt
Organism: Phasianus colchicus (ring-necked pheasant)
Lineage: Eukaryota; Metazoa; Chordata; Aves; Galliformes; Phasianidae
Source: RefSeq, a predicted model, not a curated record